AGCAGCCGCGGUAAUUCCAGCUCCAAUAGCGUAUAUUAAAGUUGUUGCAGUUAAAAAGCUCGUAGUUGAAUUUCGGGAUCAAUAUGUUGGUCGUGCCUCGGUACGUACUAGCUUAUUGGUUUCUCCUUUCUGAAGAACCAUGAUGUCAUUUAUUUGGUGUCGUGGGGAAUCAGGACUGUUACUUUGAAAAAAUUAGAGUGUUUAAAGCAGGCUCACGCUUGAAUACAUUAGCAUGGAAUAAUGAAAUAGGACGUUUGAUUCUAUUUUGUUGGUUUCUAGGAUCGACGUAAUGAUUAAUAGGGAUAGUUGGGGGCAUUAGUAUUCAAUUGUCAGAGGUGAAAUUCUUGGAUUUAUUGAAGACUAACUACUGCGAAAGCAUUUGCCAAGGAUGUUUUCAUUAAUCAAGAACGAAAGUUAGGGGAUCGAAGACGAUCAGAUACCGUCGUAGUCUUAACCAUAAACUAUGCCGACUAGGAAUCAGACGAUGUUAAUUUUUUUCAAUGACUC
This 507-nucleotide unclassified non-coding RNA is filed under the name uncultured Glomus. RNAcentral's name for it is "SSU rRNA". It matches the Rfam family "Eukaryotic small subunit ribosomal RNA", at positions 569 to 1077 of the family's 1831-position model. Lineage: Eukaryota; Fungi; Glomeromycota; Glomeromycetes; Glomerales; Glomeraceae. The record is from RNAcentral.